This 29-nucleotide non-coding RNA is filed under the name Mus musculus (house mouse). Lineage: Eukaryota; Metazoa; Chordata; Mammalia; Rodentia; Muridae. The record is from RNAcentral.
UGAAACAAGGAGGUUUUUGUUUUGUGGUA